Molecule: long non-coding RNA, 1444 nt
Filed under: Capsicum annuum
Lineage: Eukaryota; Viridiplantae; Streptophyta; Magnoliopsida; Solanales; Solanaceae
Description: long non-coding RNA (CANN_LNC000535)
Source: RNAcentral
ACAUCCAGGGGACAUCACCGACAAGCAUCCAGCCCCCAUCCUUAUCCUUGUAUGUGAGUACGUAUUCAGAUCCAUGAAGCAAAUCCUUCAAUUUACUCUCACUUAACAUUUCCUUCCCAUGAGCUCCAUAUUGACCUGACAUAACAGAAAAAUAUAGCAGUAACUCAGAAUAAAAACUUCACUGUUUGAGCCUGCCAAUCAAGACAAUCGCGAUAACUAUGAAUCGAUCAGUCGGCGCUUCAAAAUAGCUUACCAAUAGUAAAACAGCUGAACAUCUUUUCAAGAGCAGAAGAGAGCUCCUGGUAUGCAGAAUAGUUUCUUAGGUCCACUUUCCUCCAAUAUGGAGCACCAUCCAUAAAUCAAACAAUCAUUAGAUUAGACAUUUUUAUAAUGAUGUCCAAAUAUCUCACUUCUUCCUCCAAGCAGGAGCUACUCACUUGGUAGCAGGAGCACCACUGCCCGCACGGUUUGAAGUCUCAUUCACAGCAGAAUGCUUCUCUAAAACUGUAACCUGAGUAUUUGCCUCUUUCAGUUUAGGUGGUUGCACACGUGAAGUCUCCUUUGUAUCUAUCACCUGUUGGGUUCAUGAAUGGAAAAUGGAGAAGAAAUGGUGGAGAGAAGGGAGACACUAAUUUGGAAAGUGUAUUCCCAAAUUGGAAAGUUCACUCAUUUCUUUCACAUUGGUGAUGCCUUGCCCCGUCGUCGUUCGAUUCGGAAAAUGAGAUUUAAUUUUUUUAGACAAAAUUUAUUUGGAACUUGUUUACAAGUGAUACAUGUACAAGUUCCUAGCUAGUUGAGAGCUAGUUUGUAUAUCUUUUAGGACUGAAAAUUCCGUUUUGUAGUAGGAUCAGAUGGACAUGUAGCUUUUUCCUAUAUCUCUGGGAUUGACGUCUGCUUUUGUUACAAGAUAGUGCUGCUAGAUGAUUUUAAAUUUUAGAAAAAGCUAAAGGAGUUACAGUCUGAAUCCACAAAUAUGUUGGUUUUAAUUUGUCAUCACAUUAAUACGUUUACUAGUGAUAUAACAAGCAUAACUCGAAUAUAAUUUUUGACAAUUGCAGGUGAUCAUGUGGUUGCUUAAGGCGGGGAGUUAGGAUUAGAGAUGGCAACAGCCAACUGGAUGGCAGAUAGCCCUAUAUGAAAGUAAUAAAUUAGAAGUUUUUUGAAAGCUUAAUGAUGUAAAAGUAAUUUGUUUGACUAGUUUUGGUUCAACACAAAGAUAUUGAAAUUUUGUGAUCGUAAAUUAAAUAUAAGGUAAAUGACUUAAAUGUCUAUUAAUUUUAUGGUGUUAAUGAAAAGAUGAUAUUAAAGAGUUACUAAAAAUAAAAAGAGAUUUUUUUUGAAAUAAAUUAUUUUCUCCGUCUCAUAUUAUUUGAUAUGUUUGUUAGAAUUCAUAUGUUUAAAGAAUUAAGAGAUAAUUAAAUGUUAGCCUUAAUAAUUUGAUGAA